RNAcentral lists this transfer RNA (73 nucleotides) under Candidatus Helarchaeota archaeon. Its description in RNAcentral is "tRNA-Asn". The stretch from base 6 to 63 matches the Rfam family "tRNA", at positions 9 to 63 of the family's 71-position model. Rfam says of the family: Transfer RNA (tRNA) molecules are approximately 80 nucleotides in length. Lineage: Archaea; Promethearchaeati; Candidatus Helarchaeota. The record is from RNAcentral.
GCGACAGCACAGUUAGGUAGUGCGACAGGCUGUUAACCUGUCGGUCGUAGGUUCGAGUCCUACCGGCGGCGCU